This 393-nucleotide ribosomal RNA is filed under the name uncultured bacterium. RNAcentral describes it as "bacterial SSU rRNA". It matches the Rfam family "Bacterial small subunit ribosomal RNA", at positions 364 to 774 of the family's 1533-position model. The record is from RNAcentral.
UUUGGCAAUGGGCGAAAGCCUGACCCAGCAACGCCGCGUGAGGGAUGAAGUAUUUCGGUAUGUAAACCUCGAAAGAAUGGGAAGAAUAAAUGACGGUACCAUUUAUAAGCUCCGGCUAACUACGUGCCAGCAGCCGCGGUAAUACGUAGGGAGCAAGCGUUGUUCGGAUUUACUGGGCGUAAAGGGCGCGUAGGCGGCGCGGUAAGUCACUUGUGAAAUCUCUGGGCUUAACUCAGAACGGCCAAGUGAUACUGCUGUGCUAGAGUGCGGAAGAGGCAACCGGAAUUCUUGGUGUAGCGGUGAAAUGCGUAGAUAUCAAGAGGAACACCUGAGGCGAAGGCGGGUUGCUGGGCCGACACUGACGCUGAUGCGCGAAAGCCAGGGGAGCAAACG